UUAAUUGAAGCCAAAAGUAAGGCACUUUAUUGUUAAUAAAGUUAUUGAAUAUUUUAUUUCCAAUUAAA
Molecule: transfer RNA, 68 nt
Filed under: Magicicada septendecim (seventeen-year cicada)
Lineage: Eukaryota; Metazoa; Arthropoda; Insecta; Hemiptera; Cicadidae
Description: tRNA-Asn
Source: RNAcentral